GCUGUCUCGUUCAGGGAAGUAUUUAAUUCGGUUUUUGUAUUUAUUCACUAGCUUCCUAUUAAUGGGUAUAUUUGGAGGAUAUUUGUUUUUGGGGUUUUUUUAUCCCUGUUUCCCCCCUCUCUUUUCCUUUUUUCCCCCCAGGAGCUCCCUAUCGUGUGUGCAAUUUAUUCAAAUUAUACAUAUAAUUGUAAAUAUAUGUGAAUAUAUAUUUUUGAUACAAUUCCGUUUCGUUUGGGCUUCUUUCGGUUUUUCUGUGGUUUGUUUGUUUUUUCCCUUGCUUGAGAGAGCGGGAGGGGGGAGGAGACAGCUUGGACUCAGCAAGAGAGCCAGACCAAACUUACACAAUGUAGUACCCUCAUCAUCGGUUUGUGACAGUCCUGACUGUUAGCCAAGCUUUUGCAUGUACGUGACCCUAAAUUCCCUCAACUGGUACAUCAAACUCAGUGUAGUUACAAUGACCUAUAUUUAAUGCAGAGUUUCUCCAAGAAAGCAGUACCUUGCAUCAUCCCCGAAACAUGACAGUGCUUCUCAGUGGGAACAACUUCAAACAAUGAAGAAAGAAUAACUGCAACUUUUGAAAAAUCCAGGUUACGGUUUAAACAACAGUUCUUCAUACUUAAGAUGCUUCCUUAACACUCUUUGCUGCUGUUCUCACCAGUGCCUCAAUAAUCUUUCUUGGGAUCAGACCUGUAGAAUUUAGCCAUAUAGUGAUGCUGCUUCUAGAAAUAAUCCCUUAUCAGCCCAUCUGGAACAGUACUCAAACGCAGAAUAAGAUAAUAUCUGUAUCUGAAAUAUUCAAUUCCAAAGAGACUUUGAAUCCAAGUGGAAACAGCUGCAUAGCCAGAAACAUCCAAGUAUACUGACUAAAUACUAAUCGUGUACUGGAAGCGUACUGUUUUCAGUGAGAAUAACAUGAAUGCAAUUCAUUAAUAUUCAUGAUUACCACAUGUAUUAUUAGUAUAAUUAACCUCAUUCAUAUAUCCACAGGCAUGGAUUUGGAUAGGUGGACUACCCAUU
Long non-coding RNA from Lepidothrix coronata (blue-crowned manakin), 1017 nucleotides. RefSeq lists it as uncharacterized. Lineage: Eukaryota; Metazoa; Chordata; Aves; Passeriformes; Pipridae. The record is from RefSeq and is a predicted model, not a curated record. The transcript is spliced from 3 exons.